Molecule: microRNA precursor, 206 nt
Filed under: Oryza sativa Japonica Group (Japanese rice)
Lineage: Eukaryota; Viridiplantae; Streptophyta; Magnoliopsida; Poales; Poaceae
Description: MIR812 microRNA precursor family
Rfam family: MIR812 microRNA precursor family
Source: Rfam by way of RNAcentral
AGAGAGAGACAAACCUGGUUUCCGUGUUUAAUGUUUGACUAUCCGUCUUAUUUAAAAAAAUUAUAUAAAAAAUUAAAAAAACAAGUCACGUAUAAAGUAUUAAUCAUGUUUUAUCAUCUAACAACAAUAAAAUUAUGAAUUAUAAAAAAAAUUUAUAUAAGACAGACAGUCAAAGUUAGACACGGAAAUCUAAGGUUUGUCUUUUU